AUGGAUGAAGCAGAGGAGAGAGAACCGCGAGGAAGAGAGGACUGCGACCUGUCCAGCCGCCGUGCCCAGUCACCGCUCAUGUCGCCGGCACCGUCUUCGUCUGAACUGUGGCUAGUUCCGCCGCUGCUGAAGCUUCUGGCCGCGCCUCUGCGUCGCCGGAGCUCCACGCCACCACUGCCGCUGCCGAAAACCGUCUCUGAAGCCUAAUUGCUUGGAUAUACGAUCACCGUGAGUUUCUCUGCCGCCGUCCAAGCUGCCACCAGAAGGAUCCACCACAGCCUCCUCUGUUCUUGUCUUCGAAUCAAAACUGCCCUUUUUCCAAUUUCAUUGUUAAUUCUGCUAUUUCUGAAUAUUUCUGCUAAGGUAUGUUUGAAAAAUUAAAAUUGGUGCUGCUGCUACCGUUUUGGUCACAUUGGAAUCACUGCUGCUGCCAUAAAACAAAAAGGGAAGGGAGUUACUAUGUUUAACCUAUGUGAAUUCAGCUAGUUGAGGUUGAAAACUCGAUACUCUGUUGACCCUACGACGUAAGUGUGACCAGGC
Arachis ipaensis is the source of this 540-nucleotide non-coding RNA. NCBI's taxonomy places the organism in Eukaryota, Viridiplantae, Streptophyta, Magnoliopsida, Fabales, Fabaceae. The record is from RefSeq and is a predicted model, not a curated record.